CCAUACAACACUGUAGUCAGAGUCUGUCCCCAGACCUGAAACCUUGCACCUGGUGCUUAAGGCUGGAAUUAAAGUAUGUU
RNAcentral lists this non-coding RNA (80 nucleotides) under Marmota monax (woodchuck). The record is from RNAcentral. Lineage: Eukaryota; Metazoa; Chordata; Mammalia; Rodentia; Sciuridae.